GCCUCCUUAGCUCAGUUGGUAGAGCGGCUCACUCGUAAUGAGCAGGUCGCGGGUUCAAGUCCCGUGGGAGGCU
RNAcentral lists this transfer RNA (73 nucleotides) under Cytophagales bacterium. RNAcentral's name for it is "tRNA-Thr". It matches the Rfam family "tRNA". From Rfam's summary of the family: Transfer RNA (tRNA) molecules are approximately 80 nucleotides in length. Their secondary structure includes four short double-helical elements and three loops (D, anti-codon, and T loops). Further hydrogen bonds mediate the characteristic L-shaped molecular structure. tRNAs have two regions of fundamental functional importance: the anti-codon, which is responsible for specific mRNA codon recognition, and the 3' end, to which the tRNAs corresponding amino acid is attached (by aminoacyl-tRNA synthetases). tRNAs cope with the degeneracy of the genetic code in two manners: having more than one tRNA (with a specific anti-codon) for a particular amino acid; and 'wobble' base-pairing, i.e. permitting non-standard base-pairing at the 3rd anti-codon position. Lineage: Bacteria; Pseudomonadati; Bacteroidota; Cytophagia; Cytophagales. The record is from RNAcentral.